AUACGUAGGUGGCAAGCGUUGUCCGGGAUUUACUGGGCGUAAAGGGUGCGUAGGUGGAUAUUUAAGUGAGAUGUGAAAUCCCCGAGCUUAACUUGGGGCCCUGCAUUUCAAACUGGAUAUCUAGAGUGCAGGAGAGGAGAAUGGAAUUCCUAGUGUAGCGGUGAAAUGCGUAGAGAUUAGGAAGAACACCAGUGGCGAAGGCGAUUCUCUGGACUGUAACUGACACUGAGGCACGAAAGCGUGGGUAGC
This 249-nucleotide ribosomal RNA is filed under the name uncultured bacterium. RNAcentral's name for it is "partial 16S ribosomal RNA". It matches the Rfam family "Bacterial small subunit ribosomal RNA", at positions 523 to 769 of the family's 1533-position model. The record is from RNAcentral.